GGGUGUGAUUAUACCAUCACUAAUGCACCUGAUCCCAUCAGAACUCCGCAUUUAAGCGUUAUUGGGCGAGAGUAGUACUAGGAUCGGUGGCCUCUUGGGAAGUUCUCUUGUUGCACCGC
RNAcentral lists this ribosomal RNA (119 nucleotides) under Lupinus angustifolius (narrow-leaved blue lupine). The record is from RNAcentral. Lineage: Eukaryota; Viridiplantae; Streptophyta; Magnoliopsida; Fabales; Fabaceae.